This 477-nucleotide long non-coding RNA is filed under the name Setaria viridis. RNAcentral describes it as "long non-coding RNA (SVIR_LNC009004)". Lineage: Eukaryota; Viridiplantae; Streptophyta; Magnoliopsida; Poales; Poaceae. The record is from RNAcentral.
UGGCAUUUAGAUUCCACCUGGCUACUCCAGCAUUGGCCUAGAGCAGAUUUGUGCAAGUCAAUAUGAAGGCGUAGGGCUCGACCUCUCGGGAGGUGAAGGGGAAAGGACAUAAACAUGUGUUAGUGCUGAAGAACAAGUUAUAUUAGGGCCACAUUCACCUAAACAAGAUUUUACACUUCCUUUUUCUACAUGAGGAAGGUGGGGUGUGGUACAAGCCGAGGUUUGUUUGAUGGUGAUUGUGUACACAUAUACAUCUCCACGUUAUUAGACUUUAGAUCGGAAAGUUAUCCUAUUUCUGAAUGUUCUUCUGUACCUCUUCCAAAAUUACCUUUAUUACCUUAAGGUAGCAUAUACUUAAACUUUUUUAUAACAGAAACCAUAAUGAAACUGGUCAUGAAAUUUUAGCAGUGAGUUAUAGGGAUAAUACAGAGCCUUUGAUGAAUUUUUCACAAUUUUUAGCGAAAGGAAACUUUUUCU